This 79-nucleotide small RNA is filed under the name Flavobacterium sp. TAB 87. RNAcentral describes it as "Flavo-1 RNA". It matches the Rfam family "Flavo-1 RNA". The record is from Rfam by way of RNAcentral. Lineage: Bacteria; Pseudomonadati; Bacteroidota; Flavobacteriia; Flavobacteriales; Flavobacteriaceae.
UUUUAGCCCAGAUGGAAGCGGAAUGCUAUUGUGUGCGCCGCGGCGCACGCAAUAGAUACACUGAACAGCUGGAAUAGCU